Papaver somniferum (opium poppy) is the source of this 698-nucleotide long non-coding RNA. RefSeq lists it as uncharacterized. The transcript has 4 exons. The record is from RefSeq and is a predicted model, not a curated record. NCBI's taxonomy places the organism in Eukaryota, Viridiplantae, Streptophyta, Magnoliopsida, Ranunculales, Papaveraceae.
CUUUCUCUGUCAAAAACUUGUUUACACUUCUACUGCUUAACUAGUCUUAACUUAAAUUUUCUGGGUGAACUAGAACUAGAAGAAGAAGCUGAUGAGGAAGAGAAAAAGGGGCAAUAAAUCACCAACGGGUCAUGGAUUGAAAAGGAGUUUUGUAUGGGAAAAAAAUGCUCUCAACAAAUGGGUAUUUCAUGAGGCCCCUUGUGCGAUUAAAAGAUCAUUAUGCCUUUGGGGUUAAGCAUUUCCACGGAAAAGCCAUGGUCAAGGCGGACUAAUAUCCUAGUAUUUUUACUUCGAUUUCAGACAACUCUGAUGCGGAUGGUCAGCAAUUAUAAGGUACAAAUGUGAUCUUCCCAAACGUAUUGAAAGGCUUGAAGGAUAUUAGAGUUGGAGAUGUAACACAAGAGGAAAGUAAACCAUCCAGCUAUAUCAGCAAUUUCAAUCGAAGAGGUACCGAGUUGAAACGAGCCUAGUCAAGGAGAUACAAGUCAAAGCCUAGUUGGACAUAUUUCUGCUGGAAAGAUUGAUGAGCGAGAAGUCACUUCUUCCAAUUGUGAUUUUUAAUCUUCCAAAUUAUUUAUCUGUUUAUGUAUGUAACUUCAUUUUCCAUUGCAUAACUGUAUUAUUAAUUCCUGGUUACCGGCCAGUGAAGGGUGGCAACUAAUCAGCUUAUGAAUCCGGGAAACUCUUCAAAAGUAUUA